GUUCUCACAGUGCAUUUACACAUAUUUCCACAGAUAUAUAGCACUUAUACUAGACUGUUUAAAAUUUGAGUGAUAUCUUUCAAAUUUAUUAAUAUCUAACAAGCCUAAUAAGCUAACCAAUGUUUUCAGCUUGAAUUUUUCCAUUCAGUACAGACAUGUAUGUAAUGAAAAAUAUAAAACAAUGGCCACUCCAACAAGUUUAAAAGACUUAAACCUUCAAUUGUAAGAAGAGGAAGUAAUUUCUCCCAUCUGGGAAAACAUCUGCUAAUCAUCAAGAUUUAAUGGAUGGACUGUAUGACCGGCAACCACAGGACCAUUAGAGGUACUAGGAACAUAACAAGAGUCUAUCAUGAGAACAAUGCUGAUUGAGAGUCUUCUUGUAACGCGAUAUAGCUGGCCGGAGUGGCCAAGCGGUUCUAGGCGCUUCAGUCUGGAACCGCACGACUGCUACGCUCGCAGGUUUGAAUCCUGCCUCAAACAUGGAUGUGUGUGAUGUCAUUAGGUUAGUUAGGUUUAAGUAGUUCUAAGUUCUAGGGGAUUGAUGACCUCAGAUGUUGCGUCCCAUUGUGCACAGAGCCAUUUGAACCAUUUUUGUAACACGAUAAAUGAGUUCUACAUCCUUUCCAUUGUAAUCCGAUGGGUCUGUACUCAUAUAGAUUCCUUCCUUCAUUGCUGGAGGCAAUGCUAAAUGUAGUUACACAAUAGUCUAUUCAGAGUAAAUGCCGAUGCUUCCCAUCUGCCCCAUAAAUAAAAAAUAAGCUUCCAUGAAUAAUGUGAAAGAAAUUAUGUAUAAUAUUUCUUAUGCAAAGUUUUGUGGCACACAAACAUAUGGAUGUAUAUAUGUACAUAAGAAUGAUCGAUGUAACUGAGGUUACGCAUAUUUAUUCUAUAAUUUGAAUGUAAAUAAGCCUAUUAUUUACAAGCUAAACUUGUUCGGCUGUUUAUGAAGUAAGUGUGAUGGCAAUGUCAGCAGUGAUAUGUAAUAUACGAAUGUAUUACAAUUCUGACUCUGGAAAUAAAGGUUUUUUGAAGAGUAA
This is a long non-coding RNA of Schistocerca nitens (vagrant locust), 1037 nucleotides long. RefSeq lists it as uncharacterized. Lineage: Eukaryota; Metazoa; Arthropoda; Insecta; Orthoptera; Acrididae. The record is from RefSeq and is a predicted model, not a curated record. The transcript has 4 exons.